This 712-nucleotide ribosomal RNA is filed under the name uncultured Lachnospiraceae bacterium. RNAcentral's name for it is "bacterial SSU rRNA". It matches the Rfam family "Bacterial small subunit ribosomal RNA", at positions 62 to 775 of the family's 1533-position model. The record is from RNAcentral. Lineage: Bacteria; Bacillati; Bacillota; Clostridia; Lachnospirales; Lachnospiraceae.
UCGAACGGGAAACCUUUUAUUGAAGCUUCGGCAGAUUUAGCUGGUUUCUAGUGGCGGACGGGUGAGUAACGCGUGGGUAACCUGCCUUAUACAGGGGGAUAACAACCAGAACUGGUUGCUAAUACCGCAUAAGCGCACAGGACCGCAUGGUCCGGUGUGAAAAACUCCGGUGGUGUAAGAUGGACCCGCGUUGGAUUAGCUAGUUGGCAGGGUAACGGCCUACCAAGGCGACGAUCCAUAGCCGGCCUGAGAGGGUGAACGGCCACAUUGGGACUGAGACACGGCCCAGACUCCUACGGGAGGCAGCAGUGGGGAAUAUUGCACAAUGGGGGAAACCCUGAUGCAGCGACGCCGCGUGAAGGAAGAAGUAUCUCGGUAUGUAAACUUCUAUCAGCAGGGAAGAUAGUGACGGUACCUGACUAAGAAGCCCCGGCUAACUACGUGCCAGCAGCCGCGGUAAUACGUAGGGGGCAAGCGUUAUCCGGAUUUACUGGGUGUAAAGGGAGCGUAGACGGACUGGCAAGUCUGAUGUGAAAGGCGGGGGCUCAACCCCUGGACUGCAUUGGAAACUGUUAGUCUUGAGUGCCGGAGAGGUAAGCGGAAUUCCUAGUGUAGCGGUGAAAUGCGUAGAUAUUAGGAGGAACACCAGUGGCGAAGGCGGCUUACUGGACGGUAACUGACGUUGAGGCUCGAAAGCGUGGGGAGCAAACAG